UGUUAAACUUGCAAGAUGACA
RNAcentral lists this microRNA (21 nucleotides) under Glycine max (soybean). Its description in RNAcentral is "gma-miR4348c". The record is from miRBase by way of RNAcentral. Lineage: Eukaryota; Viridiplantae; Streptophyta; Magnoliopsida; Fabales; Fabaceae.